RNAcentral lists this ribosomal RNA (433 nucleotides) under uncultured bacterium. Its description in RNAcentral is "partial 16S ribosomal RNA". It matches the Rfam family "Bacterial small subunit ribosomal RNA", at positions 29 to 507 of the family's 1533-position model. The record is from RNAcentral.
AGCGAACGCUGGCGGCAGGCCUAACACAUGCAAGUCGAACGGAUCCUUCGGGAUUAGUGGCGGACGGGUGAGUAACACGUGGGAACGUGCCCUUUGGUUCGGAACAACUCAGGGAAACUUGAGCUAAUACCGGAUGUGCCCUUCGGGGGAAAGAUUUAUCGCCAUUGGAGCGGCCCGCGUCUGAUUAGCUAGUUGGUGAGGUAACGGCCCACCAAGGCGACGAUCAGUAGCUGGUCUGAGAGGAUGAUCAGCCACACUGGGACUGAGACACGGCCCAGGCUCCUACGGGAAGCAGCAGUGGGGAAUCUUGCGCAAUGGGCGAAAGCCUGACGCAGCCAUGCCGCGUGAAUGAUGAAGGUCUUAGGAUUGUAAAAUUCUUUCAGCGGGGACGAUAAUGACGGUACCCGCAGAAGAAGCGCCGGCUAACUUCGUG